This 61-nucleotide microRNA precursor is filed under the name Ornithorhynchus anatinus (platypus). RNAcentral's name for it is "Oan-Mir-1422-P14_pre stem-loop". Lineage: Eukaryota; Metazoa; Chordata; Mammalia; Monotremata; Ornithorhynchidae. The record is from RNAcentral.
UCAGUCAAGAAAGUAUUUUCUUUACAUACAGUUAAUCUGGAAAAUGGUGUCUUGAUUGAUU